AGCGGUAGGUCUCGGUCGCGCAGCCCCUGCCACGAGUAGUAGCGCUUUCCCCGAUAUCAGAACCUGUCCUGUCCCCGGGAUCGCGGACACGACGGAAAUGAGGGCGAGGGUGGGCUGCUAGGCCUCAGGCUAGGCCACGACCUCCAAGGCCCCCCUUCCUCCGUGGGCCCCUCCAUUUUGACGACGCGACUAGAGCCCUCCGGCUCCACCACGUUGCAGGCCAAAAAAAAGCGCUCCCCAACACGCCGCUAUUUCGCUGCGGCGACGCUGCAGUGAAGGAAGAGGACGCCGGCCGCCUACUCCGGCAAACCGAAGGUUAGUACAGCUUUGGUUCGUUUGGCGGUUUCCUGUGGUUGGUAGAUGCCGCGGGGGCUGCAAUCUGGUUUUGCAUCCUAUCCCCCAAAUCUUGUGCCGCCUGGCGGCCGAGAUUAUCUGCUAUUCUCUGUCAAUAUCAGAUGGCCGGUGAGGGGGCCGGUCUCGUUGUUCCUGGUCCCGACGGAGGUGCGUUUGGAGCUGGCGUCGACAUCCUGGAAUCCGACUACCCCGCCGACAACCUAAUGCCUGACGGCAGGAACACCAGAGACCGCAACUUCUCCCCAUCUUGUCUUGUCCCCAAUCUGGUUCCUGCCGUCUCGCGUCCUAGCUAGCUGAUUUUGCUUUUCGAUCUGAAGGUCAGAUGGGCGGGGAGGUGGAUUCCACGCCAGGCCGAGUUUGCUGGAGAUGCGACGGGCGCGGUAGCUGACGGCCAGUUCACGAGCUGCUGGCUGCCGAGUGGGCAGCUGCCGCUGGCGAUGGAGAGUUUGGCGUUGGCGGAGAAGAGACCGGGGCCUGCCCCCACGAACCUGUCCUUGGUGGAGCAGACGGCACGGGAGUCGUGCCUGGCGUCGGAGCUGCCGGCGCUGGAGCUUUGUCGGCGCAUGCGGAAGAGGCUUGGAGUGCAGGAAUCGAAGAACCCGAGUCACCUCGGUACAAAAGAGGAAGCCGGGACGCAAUCCGGCAACCCGCUCUUGCAAGGAAGGGCAACCUCAACGGCCGGAAGAUGGGCUAGCAAGAAGGCACGCUGAAGAACCGAUGUAGCAGGUGCAAGGGGCAGGGGAGCAAUUCAGCUACGCGUGCUGUUGAACUUCAGAAUUGAACAGGGUGCGGUUGAUCGGGCUGCCAUAAUUUGUUUCAAGUUAAUCAGACCAACAAUUGUGUCGUGGUCUGUUGUCAGUAGCAUGUGUUUUGUGCCAAGUUGUUUUGCUUGUAAUAUCUAGCUUGGCUGUUGGUCUGUCAGGUGUUAAGACGACAAUCUGAACCCUGUCAUCUUGGCCUGAUUUUUGUUCUGUUGAAACCACGUUUGGCUGCGAACCUGAACCAUAUAUAUUUUUAUUUUGUGCCAA
This is a long non-coding RNA of Brachypodium distachyon (stiff brome), 1382 nucleotides long. RefSeq lists it as uncharacterized. The transcript is spliced from 2 exons. NCBI's taxonomy places the organism in Eukaryota, Viridiplantae, Streptophyta, Magnoliopsida, Poales, Poaceae. The record is from RefSeq and is a predicted model, not a curated record.